AGUUUGAUUCUGGCUCAGGACGAACGCUGGCGGCGUGCCUAAUACAUGCAAGUCGAGCGAGCUUGCCUAGAUGAUUUUAGUGCUUGCACUAAAUGAAACUAGAUACAAGCGAGCGGCGGACGGGUGAGUAACACGUGGGUAACCUGCCCAAGAGACUGGGAUAACACCUGGAAACAGAUGCUAAUACCGGAUAACAACACUAGACGCAUGUCUAGAGUUUGAAAGAUGGUUCUGCUAUCACUCUUGGAUGGACCUGCGGUGCAUUAGCUAGUUGGUAAGGUAACGGCUUACCAAGGCAAUGAUGCAUAGCCGAGUUGAGAGACUGAUCGGCCACAUUGGGACUGAGACACGGCCCAAACUCCUACGGGAGGCAGCAGUAGGGAAUCUUCCACAAUGGACGAAAGUCUGAUGGAGCAACGCCGCGUGAGUGAAGAAGGGUUUCGGCUCGUAAAGCUCUGUUGGUAGUGAAGAAAGAUAGAGGUAGUAACUGGCCUUUAUUUGACGGUAAUUACUUAGAAAGUCACGGCUAACUACGUGCCAGCAGCCGCGGUAAUACGUAGGUGGCAAGCGUUGUCCGGAUUUAUUGGGCGUAAAGCGAGUGCAGGCGGUUCAAUAAGUCUGAUGUGAAAGCCUUCGGCUCAACCGGAGAAUUGCAUCAGAAACUGUUGAACUUGAGUGCAGAAGAGGAGAGUGGAACUCCAUGUGUAGCGGUGGAAUGCGUAGAUAUAUGGAAGAACACCAGUGGCGAAGGCGGCUCUCUGGUCUGCAACUGACGCUGAGGCUCGAAAGCAUGGGUAGCGAACAGGAUUAGAUACCCUGGUAGUCCAUGCCGUAAACGAUGAGUGCUAAGUGUUGGGAGGUUUCCGCCUCUCAGUGCUGCAGCUAACGCAUUAAGCACUCCGCCUGGGGAGU
RNAcentral lists this ribosomal RNA (912 nucleotides) under uncultured bacterium. Its description in RNAcentral is "bacterial SSU rRNA". It matches the Rfam family "Bacterial small subunit ribosomal RNA", at positions 10 to 881 of the family's 1533-position model. The record is from RNAcentral.